RNAcentral lists this ribosomal RNA (1346 nucleotides) under uncultured bacterium. RNAcentral describes it as "partial 16S ribosomal RNA". It matches the Rfam family "Bacterial small subunit ribosomal RNA", at positions 28 to 1381 of the family's 1533-position model. The record is from RNAcentral.
GACGAACGCUGGCGGCGUGCUUAACACAUGCAAGUCGAACGGAAAGGCCCUGCUUUUGUGGGGUGCUCGAGUGGCGAACGGGUGAGUAACACGUGAGUAACCUGCCCUUGACUUUGGGAUAACUUCAGGAAACUGGGGCUAAUACCGGAUAGGAGCUCCUGCUGCAUGGUGGGGGUUGGAAAGUUUCGGCGGUUGGGGAUGGACUCGCGGCUUAUCAGCUUGUUGGUGGGGUAGUGGCUUACCAAGGCUUUGACGGGUAGCCGGCCUGAGAGGGUGACCGGCCACAUUGGGACUGAGAUACGGCCCAGACUCCUACGGGGGGCAGCAGUGGGGAAUAUUGCACAAUGGGCGGAAGCCUGAUGCAGCAACGCCGCGUGCGGGAUGACGGCCUUCGGGUUGUAAACCGCUUUCGCCUGUGACGAAGCGUGAGUGACGGUAAUGGGUAAAGAAGCACCGGCUAACUACGUGCCAGCAGCCGCGGUGAUACGUAGGGUGCGAGCGUUGUCCGGAUUUAUUGGGCGUAAAGGGCUCGUAGGUGGUUGAUCGCGUCGGAAGUGUAAUCUUGGGGCUUAACCCUGAGCGUGCUUUCGAUACGGGUUGACUUGAGGAAGGUAGGGGAGAAUGGAAUUCCUGGUGGAGCGGUGGAAUGCGCAGAUAUCAGGAGGAACACCAGUGGCGAAGGCGGUUCUCUGGGCCUUUCCUGACGCUGAGGAGCGAAAGCGUGGGGAGCGAACAGGCUUAGAUACCCUGGUAGUCCACGCUGUAAACGGUGGGUACUAGGUGUGGGGUCCAUUCCACGGGUUCCGUGCCGUAGCUAACGCUUUAAGUACCCCGCCUGGGGAGUACGGCCGCAAGGCUAAAACUCAAAGGAAUUGACGGGGCCCCGCACAAGCGGCGGAGCAUGCGGAUUAAUUCGAUGCAACGCGUAGAACCUUACCUGGGUUUGACAUGGAUCGGGAGUGCUCAGAGAUGGGUGUGCCUCUUUUGGGGUCGGUUCACAGGUGGUGCAUGCCUGUCGUCAGCUCGUGUCGUGAGAUGUUGGGUUAAGUCCCGCAACGAGCGCAACCCUUGUUCACUGUUGCCAGCACGUUAUGGUGGGGACUCAGUGGAGACCGCCGGGGUCAACUCGGAGGAAGGUGGGGAUGACGUCAAGUCAUCAUGCCCCUUAUGUCCAGGGCUUCACGCAUGCUACAAUGGCUGGUACAGAGAGUGGCGAGCCUGUGAGGGUGAGCGAAUCUCGGAAAGCCGGUCUCAGUUCGGAUUGGGGUCUGCAACUCGACCUCAUGAAGUCGGAGUCGCUAGUAAUCGCAGAUCAGCAACGCUGCGGUGAAAAAGUUCCCGGGGCU